This 804-nucleotide ribosomal RNA is filed under the name uncultured fungus. RNAcentral's name for it is "eukaryotic LSU rRNA". It matches the Rfam family "Eukaryotic large subunit ribosomal RNA", at positions 30 to 821 of the family's 3401-position model. The record is from RNAcentral. Lineage: Eukaryota; Fungi.
GAACUUAAGCAUAUCAAUAAGCGGAGGAAAAGAAACUAACAAGGAUUCCCUCAGUAACUGCGAGUGAAGUGGGAAAAGCUCAAAUUUGAAAUCUGGCAGCUCUCUCAGGUUGUCCGAGUUGUAAUCUAGAGAAGUGUUACCUGUGUUGGACCGUGUAAAAGUCUUCUGGAAUGGAGCAUCAUAGAGGGUGAGAAUCCCGUCUUUGACAUGGACUACCAGCAUGCCAAGGUGCACUCUCAAAGAGUCGAGUUGUUUGGGAAUGCAGCUCAAAAUGGGUGGUAAAUGCCAUCUAAAGCUAAAUAUUGGCGAGAGACCGAUAGCGAACAAGUACCGUGAGGGAAAGAUGAAAAGAACUUUGGAAAGAGAGUUAAACAGUACGUGAAAUUGCUGAAAGGGAAACGCUUAAAGUCAGUCGCAUUAGCUGGAAAUCAGGCUUGCUUUUGCAAGGUGCACUUUCUAGUUGAUGGGUCAGCAUCAAUUUUGAUCGUUGGAUAAAGUCAUUGGGAAUGUGGCAUCUUUGGAUGUGUUAUAGCCCAGUGUUGAAUACAGCGGUCAGGAUUGAGGAAUUCAGCAUGCCUCUAGGGGCCAGGUUUCGACCAUGUUCAUGCUUAGGAUGCUGGCAUAAUGGCUUUAAUCGACCCGUCUUGAAACACGGACCAAGGAGUCUAACAUGCCUGCGAGUGUUUGGGUGAAAAACCCAUACGCACAAUGAAAGUGAAAGUUGAGAUCCUUAGGGAGCAUUGGCGCCCGGACCAGACCUUCUGUGACGGAUCCGCGGUAGAGCAUGUAUGUUGGGACCCGAAA